AAUUUCUUUCGCCUUCAAAUAUGGUCUUUUAUUUUUCUUCAGAUUUUUAUGGACUGAUUUGACUUGUUCUAAAAUAUACUUUAUUAAAAAAAAAAAAACCAACAUCGAGUAAAAAAUGUUCAAUUAUGAAAAAGUGGGCCAUAAGAUUUCAACCUAUAAUAUUUAUUUUUAGAUUAUCUGGUAGUGCUAUUAAGGCCGAAGAGAUUAAUAAUUAUUAUGGAAUUGACGAAAACAGUAAUUUGGACAUGGUCAUAAAGAUUUGUUUCCUUGUCAUAAUGAUUUUAAUUCAAAGCAUAGUGGUAGGUAUCUUAUCUAAUUAUCUUAUUCAAUUACAGCGUUAUUCAAAGAAAAGUCCAAUCAAUUAGUCUUCAUGUUAUAAACUUAUAAUGAUGCCUAAGAAAGUGGAAUUAUUUUAUAAUUUUGAACAAAUUUUGUCAAAGUGUGCUAGGGUUGAUUGGAUCACACGUCAAUUUCAUGCACCAAAAGUAAGCAUAUUUUCUAAAAUAUAAUU
Non-coding RNA from Arachis ipaensis, 511 nucleotides. Lineage: Eukaryota; Viridiplantae; Streptophyta; Magnoliopsida; Fabales; Fabaceae. The record is from RefSeq and is a predicted model, not a curated record.